UGGUUCACUAGGGCUUGUGAGAGUUCAAUCUAAAAGCUCUAACCUCUUGAACCAAGAAGUGAUCUUUGUCAGAGCUGUAUGAUCAGACACUUUAAAGUGUGAUUUUUUUUUCCUAACAUUAGA
Small nucleolar RNA from Ursus americanus (American black bear), 123 nucleotides. The record is from Ensembl. NCBI's taxonomy places the organism in Eukaryota, Metazoa, Chordata, Mammalia, Carnivora, Ursidae.